This 6696-nucleotide long non-coding RNA is filed under the name Nicotiana tabacum (common tobacco). Its description in RNAcentral is "long non-coding RNA (NTAB_LNC013045)". The record is from RNAcentral. Lineage: Eukaryota; Viridiplantae; Streptophyta; Magnoliopsida; Solanales; Solanaceae.
GAGUCAAAUAUGUUAAUAAAUGAGCGUUAGCGCUAAAACUAAAAUUAUCCCUUGGAUCAACUAGUGUAAUAUAUAUUGAACCAACAUAAAUAAUACAUUAGUUUAGGGGUUAAAGUGUAAAAAUAGAAACUUGUAACUUAAUCUCAAUUAUUCGGUUAUCAAUGUAUAUAUAGGUUAGCUUCUUCAUUUUAGAAUAGAUCGGUUCCUUCUUCUUCACAGUUAUAUUGAAAUGGCUCCACUUUGAGCUCAUCUCUCUUUCCCUCAUUUGUUCUUCUAGAACCAUCCAGCUACUUGCAUGCAUCCUUACUCUUGUUAGUUAACUGCUCAAUAUGGUAUCAGAGCUUUCCGAUUGAGCUCCGGCGACUGGUUUUGAUCUCCGAUUCAGUGUUCUUAUUCAUCGACACACUCAAUUUCAGAGCUAGGGUUUGUUAUUUUCUUCUCAACUCAGAGUAUAAUUGCAAUUGAAGAAGCAACGAAUGAAGAUGCAGUGCUAAGUCACAAUCAUCCUCUGUAUUUGCAACCUUCGGAUUCGUCAGGUGAACAUCUGAUUGAUUUCAAACUGUUAGGCACUGAAAAUUACAAUUUGUGGUGUCGAUCCAUGAGAAUUGGACUUUUUACGAAGAACAAAAUCGGAGUUUAUUGACGGUACUUGUCGCAAUGAAAAUUUUGGGACAAAUCUUCAUGAUCAAUGAGAAAGGUGCAAUGCUUUUGUUUUAUCAUGGAUUAUGAAUGCAGUAACAAAAGAGUUAUAUAGUAGUGUGGUUUAUGGAUCCUCUGCACAUAAUGUGUGGAAGGAUUUGAAGGAGAGAUUUGAUAAGAGGAACAUAUCGCGGAUCUAUAAUUUACUUCAGGAAAUUGGUGCUUUAAAGCACGGAUUAUCACCUGUAUCAACCUACUAUUCUAAACUCAAGGAUCUGUGGGAUGAGUAUGAUGUUAUGGCCCCCACUCCAUCAUGUCCAUGUCCAGAGUCGAAGGUGUUUCUAGAGCACAUUCAACAACAACGUUUGGUGCAAUUUUUAAGUGGACUGAACGAGUCAUUUGCCCAAGCAAAGGGCCAAAUCAUGCUUAUGAUUCCUACACUUACUAUCAAUGAGGCAUAUGGGAUGAGAGUCAACGAGCAAAGAUAAUGAAUAUUAGUGACUUGGAGAUAGGAGCAGCAGCUAUGGCACACAACUCAGGACAAGUUUUUUCUGGUGGCUACAAGCAGAAAGCUCAGGUAUUUUGUGAUUAUUGCAAACUUAAAGGACACACUAAAGAUGUUUGUUACAAGUUGGUAGGUUAUCCACCUGACUAUAAGCCAAAGAAAAGGCUUUUGGAAGAAACAUGGCAGCAACACACAAUGCACAAAUUGAUCAUUCAAAUGGAUCAACAGACCAAGGAAGUUCUAGUUCAAGGAUAGCAACUACAGGGAACUUCUUCACAGAGGAGCAGUAUAAACAACUACUUCAACUACUGAGCCAAAUUACAACACAUGUUGAAACAGCAGCACAUGCCAAGGUCACAAGUAUACCAUUAUCACUCUUAAGCAAAGCUAAGAAGGAUAAAUGGAUCAUAGACUCAGGUGACACUAAUCACAUGGUGUCUAGUUUGGACUUCUUUACUGAUUUUAUGGAGAUACCUAAAGGAGAAGGCAGGAAAGUGCAGCUGCCAACUGGUGAAACUAGUAGGAUUACACACCUAGAAUCUUCUAGUAUUCUCAAUGGUUUACCAAUUAAAAAUGUCCUAUAUGUGCCACAGUUUAGGUACAAUUUACUAUCUGUCUCACAACUUACAAGGGACAUUGGAUGUUUCAUUGCCUUCUUUCCUGCUUGGUGUGUCUUCCAGGACAUUUGCAAUGGGAAGGUGAAGGGGAUUGGUAAGCUGGAAGAAGAACUCUAUGUGUUGGAUCUCGAGCAAAAGUCAGAUCUCAAGUUGCCAAAUGGUGUUAUUACUUCUGCUUUAGUAAUAAAUAGAAUAAGUGGGUCUUUGUGGCAUAAAAGGUUAGGUCACAUUCCUUUAGAUGCUUUAAAGAGAUUACAUGCUUUUCACAACAAGACAUUUGUUGAUUGUAAUGAGUAUUGUCCAGUAUGUCCUUUAGCAAAGCAAACAAGAUUACCUUUUCCUAUUAGCAACAGUAGAUGUGAUGCAUUUGAUGACCUUAUACAUGCAGAUGUAUGGGGACCUUUUAAGGUUCCAACUUUUGAUGGUAAGAGAUAUUUCCUAACUCUAGUUGAUGAUUUCAGUAGGUAUAUAUGGAUCUGCCUCAUGAACACAAAAGAUGAAUCAGUUUUGGUUUUGAGACACUUUAUUUCACUUCUAAGAAAUAAGUUCUCCACUACUCCUAAAACACUAAGAACAGAUAAUGGAGGAGAGUUUUUUAACAAGGAGUUGACAGCCCUAUUGCAGUCUGAAGGGGUAGUAUAUCAAAGCUCCUGUCCAUACACUCCUCAACAAAAUGAAGUUGUUGAACGAAGGCAUAAGUACAUUUUGGACAUUGCACGAGCCUUGAGAUUCCAAUCUGGAUUGCCUUUAAAAUUUUGGGGUGAGUGUGUUUUAACAGCUGUUUAUUUGAUCCACGGAGUUCCUUCCAGAAUUUUAUCUGGUAAAUCACCUUUUGAGCUGGUAUUUCACAAAAAUGUCACCCUAGAUCAUCUCAGGAUGUUUGGUUGCCUUGCCUAUGCUGCAAAUCUUAAAAGACAACACAAAUUCUCACCUAGAGCAGUACCAGCUAUAUUCUUAGGGUACUCAUUGGUGCAAAAGGGUUACAAACUGUAUGACUUGCACAAUAACUGCCUUUUGUGAGUAUGGAUGUUGUCUUCAAGGAAGAUGUGUUUCCUUUUCUCCAGCACAUGAACAAUUCCAUGAAGGAUCAACACUUUCCUGUUAUGACUCCAUCAUAUGAUUCUGAUUCUGCUGAUCUUGUAUUGCCUUUACCUCAGCAUUCCAUCACAUCACAAGAUACUUUAUCAUCUGAUUUGGGACACCAAGAUGAUUCUCUUGCUAUCACUGAAGAUCUUCAAGGCAAUUCUAUAAGUACUGAUGACCUCCCAUUUCCAGAUGAUCUUCCAAGCAGUCCUGCCCAUCAUACUACUGCAGUUUCACUUCCUGAGGUUCUUCCUCAUCUGUUGCUGGUGACUUACCAGCUAUUGGAAUCAGGAAAUCCACUAGGCCUUCUAGGCCUCCUAUAUGGAUGAAUGACUAUGUGGUUGAUGAAAAUCCUGGAAAGCCUUGCAAUUAUCCUAUUGCUAAUUCUAUUAGUUAUCAAGCAUUGAAGCCUGCCUACAGUCAAUGUCUUGCAGCUUACUCAGCAAAGGUUGAACCUAGUUCUUUCUCAGAAGCAACUAAGGAUCCUAAAUGGGUGUCAGCAAUGCAUCAAGAACUUCAAGCCUUGGAAGACAAUGACACUUGGAGAAUAGUUCCUUUACCUCCUGGAAAGAAACCAAUUGGAUGCAAAUGGGUGUUCAAGAUCAAACAUAAAGCUAAUGGAGAAGUUUAAAGGUAUAAGACCCGACUUGUGGCUAAGGGAUACACACAACAAGAGGGGUUGGAUUAUACAAAUACUUUUUCACCUGUAGCAAAAAUGGUCACAGUCAGGACCAUCAUUGCCCUAGCUGCUCAUCAUGGUUGGUUUAUCUACCAAAUGGAUAUUCAUAAUGCCUUUCUUCAGGGUGAUCUCCUGGAAGAAGUGUACAUGACCAUUCCUCCUAGUUUUCCUUAUAACACUACAAGGCAGGGGGAGUAUUCAUCUUCUGUUUGUAAACUUCACAAGUCCUUAUAUGGACUCAAACGGGCUUCCAGGCAAUGAAAUCUUAAGCUCACAGAUGCCUUACAUAUAAUGGGGUUCACAUAAAGUCACUAUGAUUACUCUCUUUUCAGUAAAAGAGAAGGUUGUAAUCAAGUACUAGUUCUCAUCUAUGUAGAUGACUUAUUAGUCUCUGGUAAUGAUGUUAAGUUGAUUAACAAAACUAGAGCAGAUUUGCAGAAAUUCUUCAAGAUAAAGGACCUGGGAGAGCUGAAGUUUUUUCUUGGGAUUGAAUUUGCAAGAUCCUCUAAAGGGGUAUAUAUAAGCCAAAGAAAAUAUGCUCUAGAGUUGAUAGCUGAACUUGGCCUAGCAGGAUCAAAACCAGCUAGUACUCCUCUAGAAGUCAAUCAGAAGUUAACUAUUGUGGAGUUUGACAAAGCAAUAACACUUGUUGUUGAUAAUGAUCUUGUCUUAAGAGAUGCAAGUGUGUAUCAAAGGCUUGUUGGCAGACUGUUGUACCUGAUAAUGACUCGGACAAGCAUCUCUUAUGUUGUACAAACACUUAGUCAAUUCAUGCAUAAACAAUCACAUUUAAAUGCUGCCAUCAGAGUGGUAAGGUAUAUUAAGACUCCUCCAGGUCAAGGUCUAUUGCUACCAGCAGAAGGAGAUGAACAACUAUUAUCAUAUUGUGAUGCGGAUUGGGGUGCAUGCUUGCAUACAAGAAGGCCUGUUACAGGCUAUCUAGUAUUCUAUGGUAAUGUCUUGAUUUCUUGGAAGUCGAAGAAAUAAGAAACAGUUGCAAGAAGUUCAGUAGAAGCAGAAUUUCGAAGUAUGGCUUCAGCAGCAACAGAGAUAGUGUGACUGAGAGGCUUGUUCAAUGAACUUGGCUUUGAGAUUAAGAGGCCAGUCACCUUGAUGUGUGAUAGUAAGGCAACAAUACAAAUUGCAUCCAAUACUAUAUUCCAUGAACAUACAAAGCACAUAGACAUCGAUUGUCAUUUUAUUAGGGAAAAGGUGAAAGCUGAAUCUAUCGAAACGGUGCAUGCCAACACUAAGGAGCAGAUUGUAGACAUUUUGACGAAAGGGCUGGGAAGAACUCAACAUGAUUAUCUACUUGGCAAGCUAGGAGUGAAGAAUCUGUUUCUCCCCUCUAGCUUGAGGGGGAGUAUUGAACCAACAUAGAUAAUACAUUAGUUUAGGGGUUAAAGUGUAAAAAUAGAAACUUGUAACUUAAUCUCAAUUAGUCGGUUAUCAAUGUAUAUAUAGGUUAGCUUCUUCAUUUUAGAAUAGAUCGGUUCCUUCUUCUUCACAGUUAUAUGUGUCACACCUCCUUUUUCCUACCCCUCGUAAAGGGGUAUAAGGGAGUUUUUUUCAACUAAAGUGACAAUCGAAACGAGAUUAUUUUAUUUAAAAAUUCAGAGUCGCCACUUGGGAAAUUUAUGGUGUACCAAGUCACCGGUUCCAAUCCCGAAUCGAGGAAAACAUUGACUCUGUUUCACAGUCCGCGAACCAGAAAUCCGGGUAAGGAAUUCUGUUAACUCGGAAUAAGGUGUUAGGCACUCCCGAGUUCCAUGGUUCUAGCACCGUCGCUCAACUGUUAUAUUCGGCUUAACUAUUUGAUUUUAACACAUGUUUUGGCUUAUGGUUCAAUUUCAACUUUAACCGCUUUUAUUCAUUUUUCAGAAGAUUACAACGUUAUUAAAACAUGUCUCGAACCACGUCACAUAAAUGCACCCGCGGUCUUGACAUAUUUUAACAUUGUUGAGAUUUUGGAUUUGGGUCACAUAAAUGCGCACCCGAAUUUAGGAAGGUAAUUUUUAAAAUAGCGCGCCUAAAGCAACUACGCACUUUCAAGUUUGCGAGGGCCAUGAAAAUUUUAACUAAUGGCACACCUCGAUUCUAAUUCAAAGGAUCUUAAUUACAUCACGCGAACGUGUACAUAAUCACGGUGAUACAUUACACGUGCCUGAAGCAAGCUACGAAUACAUGAAUAGUUAAAUUCUAACUUCUGAGUUCGAGAUUGAAUGUGAUAUGCUCAGAGACUAACAAUGAUAGUUGCAAUUUGAUUAACAGGGUAAGUAAGAUAAAAAUUCCCAACAUACAAAUCCUUACUUUCCAACACUAAGCUAUAAAAACGAGCAAUAACUGGAAGGUCAUAACAACAAGUUAUUUUUUUCUUUCUAAUUCCAAUAUACUACUUCUAUUGAGUAUUAUUAUUGUUGAAAGCCAAUUCAAGGGAAACUAUUACUAUCAUUAUCAUCAAGUGAAGUUCUUAGAUAUCAAUUCCAGCAAAUUACAACGAUAGAAAACAAAUAAAAGCAAGAAACACAAAACCCAAAAUUCAAGACUAAAUCAAAAUCAUAAUACAAACGGUCAAUGGCAAUAAGAGCAGGAAUUGAGGCGAACUGAAUAUAACACAAUGCAGAAAAUACCAAUUCAAGAAUGAUAUGAAAAAAGUCUGAAUUUGACUACUUUCGAACCACAUUAACGAAGCAAAACUCGGACAGACCUGACUGGGAACCUCAACGAAAUAAACUCGACUCUUCAGCGAUGAUUGAAACCGGAUCGGACUGAACUCAACAACGAGUUCAACAAUCAACAACAGCAAAUUUUCGACCUCAACAACUUUUGGGAACAGAUCGUGACUGAGAUUUUCGAAUGGCAGAAUUUCGAUAUCAGUCGCUUCUGUCCGUCUUUUCUUUGAGUGUAUUCGUCGCUGCCGGUUAUUGUGAGAGAUGGGAGCUUCGUUUGGUUUCUGUUAAGAAGAUGAAAGGCUGUAUCGGGUUGAAGAGAAAGGGUCAGGGGUGUGAGUGAAGAAGAAGUUUAGGGGGUCGUUUGGGUGGGGAUCAAGAAGAUGAGGUCGUGAGGGGGGGUCCUUGAUGAAAGCUGCACAGCUUUUUCUUGUAUCCCCCCAGCGUUCUUCUUCUUUUUUUAUUUUUUAAGCAUUAAUUUAUAGGUAGUGUCUAGGUUUAGGU